Molecule: small nucleolar RNA, 144 nt
Organism: Acomys russatus (golden spiny mouse)
Lineage: Eukaryota; Metazoa; Chordata; Mammalia; Rodentia; Muridae
Product: small nucleolar RNA SNORA48
Exons: 1
Source: RefSeq, a predicted model, not a curated record
CUUCCCUGGCAAUGGGGAAAGAGACACCUAGUUGGUGGUGAUGUUCUUUUAUCAGUCAGGGGCAGUGUAGAUGGCAGUCAUUUCUUCAUUCUAGCUUGAUGUUUGGCAUGGUGGCUAAAACUGUAUUAUGCCUAGGACACAUAA